Arthromyces matolae is the source of this 83-nucleotide non-coding RNA. The record is from the annotation of a GenBank genome assembly. NCBI's taxonomy places the organism in Eukaryota, Fungi, Basidiomycota, Agaricomycetes, Agaricales, Lyophyllaceae.
UCCCCCUUAGCUCAGUGGUAGAGCGCGUCACUAGUAUUCAUCGUGCUAUGACGAGGUCAGUCGUUCAAGUCGGCUAGGGGGAA